This 270-nucleotide ribosomal RNA is filed under the name uncultured archaeon. RNAcentral's name for it is "partial 16S ribosomal RNA". It matches the Rfam family "Archaeal small subunit ribosomal RNA", at positions 477 to 747 of the family's 1478-position model. The record is from RNAcentral.
CAGCACCUCAAGUGGUCAGGAUGAUUAUUGGGCCUAAAGCAUCCGUAGCCUGUUCUAUAAGUUUCCGGUUAAAUCCAUUAGCUCAACUAAUGGGCCGCCGAAAAUACUGUGGAACUAGGGAGUGGGAGAGGUAGACGGUACUCGGUAGGAAGGGGUAAAAUCCUUUGAUCUAUUGAUGACCACCUGUGGCGAAGGCGGUCUACCAGAACACGUCCGACGGUGAGGGAUGAAAGCUGGGGGAGCAAACCGGAUUAGAUACCCGAGUAGUCC